Molecule: ribosomal RNA, 468 nt
Filed under: uncultured bacterium
Lineage: Bacteria
Description: partial 16S ribosomal RNA
Rfam family: Bacterial small subunit ribosomal RNA
Source: RNAcentral
GAUGAACGCUGGCGGCGUGCUUAACACAUGCAAGUCGAACGGAAAGGCCAGUGCUUGCACUGGUACUCGAGUGGCGAACGGGUGAGUAACACGUGGGUGAUCUGCCCUGCACUUCGGGAUAAGCCUGGGAAACUGGGUCUAAUACCGGAUAGGACAAUGGUUUGGAUGCCGUUGUGGAAAGUUUUUUCGGUGUGGGAUGAGCUCGCGGCCUAUCAGCUUGUUGGUGGGGUAAUGGCCUACCAAGGCGUCGACGGGUAGCCGGCCUGAGAGGGUGUACGGCCACAUUGGGACUGAGAUACGGCCCAGACUCCUACGGGAGGCAGCAGUGGGGAAUAUGGCACAAUGGGCGCAAGCCUGAUGCAGCGACGCCGCGUGGGGGAUGACGGCCUUCGGGUUGUAAACUCCUUUCGCUAGGGACGAAGCGUAUUUGUGACGGUACCUGGAGAAGAAGCACCGGCUAACUACGUG